This 254-nucleotide ribosomal RNA is filed under the name uncultured bacterium. RNAcentral describes it as "partial 16S ribosomal RNA". It matches the Rfam family "Bacterial small subunit ribosomal RNA", at positions 524 to 776 of the family's 1533-position model. The record is from RNAcentral.
UACGUAGGGACCAAGCGUUGUUCGGAUUUACUGGGCGUAAAGGGCGCGUAGGCGGCGUGACAAGUCACUUGUGAAGUCUCUGGGCUUAACCCAGAACGGCCAAGUGAAACUGUCGUGCUAGAGUGCGGAAGGGGCAAUCGGAAUUCUCGGUGUAGCGGUGAAAUGCGUAGAUAUCGAGAGGAACACCUGAGGUGAAGACGGGUUGCUGGGCCGACACUGACGCUGAGUGCGCGAAAGCCAGGGGAGCAAACGGG